This 253-nucleotide ribosomal RNA is filed under the name uncultured bacterium. Its description in RNAcentral is "partial 16S ribosomal RNA". It matches the Rfam family "Bacterial small subunit ribosomal RNA", at positions 524 to 776 of the family's 1533-position model. The record is from RNAcentral.
GACGAACCGUGCGAACGUUGUUCGGAAUCACUGGGCUUAAAGGGCGCGUAGGCGGCUCGCGAGGUCGGGGGUGAAAUCCCACGGCUUAACCGUGGAAGGGCCUUCGAUACCGGCGGGCUGGAGGAAGGUAGGGGUGCGCGGAACUUCUGGUGGAGCGGUGAAAUGCGUUGAUAUCAGAAGGAACGCCGGCGGCGAAAGCGGCGCACUGGACCUUUUCUGACGCUGAGGCGCGAAAGCUAGGGGAGCAAACGGG